Molecule: ribosomal RNA, 511 nt
Filed under: uncultured bacterium
Lineage: Bacteria
Description: bacterial SSU rRNA
Rfam family: Bacterial small subunit ribosomal RNA
Source: RNAcentral
GAUGAACGCUAGCGACAGGCUUAACACAUGCAAGUCGAGGGGCAGCAUAAAAAUCAGCUUGCUGAUUUUGGUGGCGACCGGCGCACGGGUGAGUAACGCGUAUGCAACCUACCUAUCAGAGGGGGAUAGCCCAUUGAAAGAUGGAUUAAUACCGCAUAAAACAGGGGUCCCGCAUGGGAAUAUUUGUUAAAGAUUUAUUGCUGAUAGAUGGGCAUGCGUUCCAUUAGUUAGUUGGUAAGGUAACGGCUUACCAAGACAUCGAUGGAUAGGGGUUCUGAGAGGAAGGUCACCCACACUGGUACUGAGACACGGACCAGACUCCUACGGGAGGCAGCAGUGAGGAAUAUUGGUCAAUGGGCGAGAGCCUGAACCAGCCAAGUCGCGUGAAGGAUGACUGCCCUAUGGGUUGUAAACUUCUUUUAUUGGGGAAUAAAAAAGGUCACGUGUGGCUUAUUGUAUGUACCCAAUGAAUAAGCAUCGGCUAACUCCGUGCCAGCCGCCGCUGUAAUAC